This 253-nucleotide ribosomal RNA is filed under the name uncultured bacterium. Its description in RNAcentral is "partial 16S ribosomal RNA". It matches the Rfam family "Bacterial small subunit ribosomal RNA", at positions 524 to 776 of the family's 1533-position model. The record is from RNAcentral.
UACGUAGGGUGCAAGCGUUGUCCGGAAUUAUUGGGCGUAAAGAGCUCGUAGGCGGUCUGUCGCGUCGGAUGUGAAAAUCCAGGGCUCAACCCUGGACCUGCAUUCGAUACGGGCAGACUAGAGUUCGGUAGGGGAGACUGGAAUUCCUGGUGUAGCGGUGAAAUGCGCAGAUAUCAGGAGGAACACCAAUGGCGAAGGCAGCUCGCUGGGACGUGACUGACGCUGAGACGCGAAAGCGUGGGGAGCAAACAGG